GAUGAACGCUGGCGGCGUGCUUAACACAUGCAAGUCUAACGAUGAAGCCCAGCUUGCUGGGUGGAUUAGUGGCGAACGGGUGAGUAAUACGUGAGUAACCUGCCCUUAACUCUGGGAUAAGCCUGGGAAACUGGGUCUAAUACCGGAUAGGAGCGCCUACCGCAUGGUGGGUGUUGGAAAGAUUUAUCGGUUUUGGAUGGACUCGCGGCCUAUCAGCUUGUUGGUGAGGUAAUGGCUCACCAAGGCGACGACGGGUAGCCGGCCUGAGAGGGUGACCGGCCACACUGGGACUGAGACACGGCCCAGACUCCUACGGGAGGCAGCAGUGGGGAAUAUUGCACAAUGGGCGAAAGCCUGAUGCAGCGACGCCGCGUGAGGGAUGACGGCCUUCGGGUUGUAAACCUCUUUCAGUAGGGAAGAAGCGAAAGUGACGGUACCUGCAGAAGAAGCACCGGCUAACUACGUG
RNAcentral lists this ribosomal RNA (466 nucleotides) under uncultured bacterium. Its description in RNAcentral is "partial 16S ribosomal RNA". It matches the Rfam family "Bacterial small subunit ribosomal RNA", at positions 28 to 507 of the family's 1533-position model. The record is from RNAcentral.